UGGGGAAUAUUGCACAAUGGGCGCAAGCCUGAUGCAGCCAUGCCGCGUGUGUGAAGAAGGCCUUCGGGUUGUAAAGCACUUUCAGCGGGGAGGAAGGCGAUAAGGUUAAUAACCUUGUCGAUUGACGUUACCCGCAGAAGAAGCACCGGCUAACUCCGUGCCAGCAGCCGCGGUAAUACGGAGGGUGCAAGCGUUAAUCGGAAUUACUGGGCGUAAAGCGCACGCAGGCGGUCUGUCAAGUCGGAUGUGAAAUCCCCGGGCUCAACCUGGGAACUGCAUCUGAUACUGGCAAGCUUGAGUUUCGUAGAGGGGGGUAGAAUUCCAUGUGUAGCGGUGAAAUGCGUAGAGAUGUGGAGGAAUACCGGUGGCGAAGGCGGCCACCUGGACAAAGACUGACGCUCAGGUGCGAAAGCGUGGGGAGCAAACAGG
Molecule: ribosomal RNA, 429 nt
Filed under: Chloroflexota bacterium
Lineage: Bacteria; Bacillati; Chloroflexota
Description: Chloroflexi bacterium partial 16S ribosomal RNA
Rfam family: Bacterial small subunit ribosomal RNA
Source: RNAcentral